UCAAACUUUAAAUAGGUA
This 18-nucleotide small nuclear RNA is filed under the name Arabidopsis thaliana (thale cress). Its description in RNAcentral is "snRNA_19107". The record is from RNAcentral. Lineage: Eukaryota; Viridiplantae; Streptophyta; Magnoliopsida; Brassicales; Brassicaceae.